Molecule: long non-coding RNA, 616 nt
Filed under: Phasianus colchicus (ring-necked pheasant)
Lineage: Eukaryota; Metazoa; Chordata; Aves; Galliformes; Phasianidae
Description: lncRNA (ENSPCLG00000006666.1)
Source: RNAcentral
AUUCAUGAGUGGUUCAUUUACUUAUUUCAGGUGUGUGAAGAUAGUCUUUAACUGGCAAAGGGACACAACAGAUGCUUUUCAAUUCCAUUAAACUCUAUGCAUUAAAUCCUGCUUCUCAACGUGGUGCCAAUGGCCUGGAACUGAAAGUAAACCAUUUUGUUCAGUGUAAUAAGGAGUAAGGAGACUUGGCUUAUCUUCUCUUCACCACCACCAUGAUGUAUACUGUUGCCAGUCUUCAGAUAAACUCAGCUUUGCUCAUACUGCACGUGAGAUGUGGGAAAGGAAUUGGAAGACACUUUUUGAGGGCUGUAUGUGAUUAAUCACUGGCUGAUAUUCCCUCCACUUUGUUUUGGGUUUAUUGCAUGAGGCUCCUGACUAAUCCCCCUGGAGGGCUGUAAUUUGUAACAAAGUUGAAGCGAAGGAUAUUAUUUUCAAGCAAAACAAUGUAGCACAAAAGAACACAAACAAGGAAAUACACACAGGGCAGAUCCUUUGGAAGUAAAUAGAUAAAAAUUCAAUUUGAUGUGGUUAAUUGCACUCGGAAGGGCUUUUCCUGCCUUAAAGAAAAUCUGCUUCGGUUCCCUUUAGAUAUGGAUAAUGUUUAAUGGGAGACCUG